GUUAUCUGUAGCCUCCAGUACCUCCUCAUUUCACUAGAGAAACCAUAAUAAGGUGGCAGUUGGCUGGAGAAGAUCACUAGAUAACAACCUACUUGCUCUUGGCUAUAUCGCCAGCAUGUUUCUG
Molecule: long non-coding RNA, 124 nt
Organism: Sebastes umbrosus (honeycomb rockfish)
Lineage: Eukaryota; Metazoa; Chordata; Actinopteri; Perciformes; Sebastidae
Exons: 3
Source: RefSeq, a predicted model, not a curated record